This 281-nucleotide ribosomal RNA is filed under the name Pseudocoprococcus catus. RNAcentral describes it as "Coprococcus catus partial 16S ribosomal RNA". It matches the Rfam family "Bacterial small subunit ribosomal RNA", at positions 495 to 776 of the family's 1533-position model. The record is from RNAcentral. Lineage: Bacteria; Bacillati; Bacillota; Clostridia; Lachnospirales; Lachnospiraceae.
UAUGACUUGUGUGCCAGAGCCGCGGUAAUACGUAGGGGGCAAGCGUUAUCCGGAUUUACUGGGUGUAAAGGGAGCGUAGGCGGCGGAGCAAGUCAGAAGUGAAAGCCCGGGGCUCAACCCCGGGACGGCUUUUGAAACUGCCCUGCUUGAUUUCAGGAGAGGUAAGCGGAAUUCCUAGUGUAGCGGUGAAAUGCGUAGAUAUUAGGAGGAACACCAGUGGCGAAGGCGGCUUACUGGACUGACAAUGACGCUGAGGCUCGAAAGCGUGGGGAGCAAACAGG